This 845-nucleotide ribosomal RNA is filed under the name Paraburkholderia sp. Its description in RNAcentral is "bacterial SSU rRNA". It matches the Rfam family "Bacterial small subunit ribosomal RNA", at positions 26 to 869 of the family's 1533-position model. Lineage: Bacteria; Pseudomonadati; Pseudomonadota; Betaproteobacteria; Burkholderiales; Burkholderiaceae. The record is from RNAcentral.
AGAUGAACGCUGGCGGCAUGCCUUACACAUGCAAGUCGAACGGCAGCACGGGGGCAACCCUGGUGGCGAGUGGCGAACGGGUGAGUAAUACAUCGGAACGUGUCCUGUAGUGGGGGAUAGCCCGGCGAAAGCCGGAUUAAUACCGCAUACGCUCUACGGAGGAAAGGGGGGGAUCUUAGGACCUCUCGCUACAGGGGCGGCCGAUGGCAGAUUAGCUAGUUGGUGGGGUAAAGGCCUACCAAGGCGACGAUCUGUAGCUGGUCUGAGAGGACGACCAGCCACACUGGGACUGAGACACGGCCCAGACUCCUACGGGAGGCAGCAGUGGGGAAUUUUGGACAAUGGGGGCAACCCUGAUCCAGCAAUGCCGCGUGUGUGAAGAAGGCCUUCGGGUUGUAAAGCACUUUUGUCCGGAAAGAAAACCUUCGCCCUAAUAUGGUGGGGGGAUGACGGUACCGGAAGAAUAAGCACCGGCUAACUACGUGCCAGCAGCCGCGGUAAUACGUAGGGUGCAAGCGUUAAUCGGAAUUACUGGGCGUAAAGCGUGCGCAGGCGGUCCGCUAAGACAGAUGUGAAAUCCCCGGGCUUAACCUGGGAACUGCAUUUGUGACUGGCGGGCUAGAGUAUGGCAGAGGGGGGUAGAAUUCCACGUGUAGCAGUGAAAUGCGUAGAGAUGUGGAGGAAUACCGAUGGCGAAGGCAGCCCCCUGGGCCAAUACUGACGCUCAUGCACGAAAGCGUGGGGAGCAAACAGGAUUAGAUACCCUGGUAGUCCACGCCCUAAACGAUGUCAACUAGUUGUUGGGGAUUCAUUUCCUUAGUAACGUAGCUAACGCGUGAAGUGAC